This is a long non-coding RNA of Hemibagrus wyckioides, 1170 nucleotides long. RefSeq lists it as uncharacterized. The record is from RefSeq and is a predicted model, not a curated record. The transcript has 3 exons. Lineage: Eukaryota; Metazoa; Chordata; Actinopteri; Siluriformes; Bagridae.
AGCAACAACUACAGUCCAUCAGACAGUGUUCCUUCAGACAGUCACUGGGAAUGUAGUUUUAGACAAUUAUGUACUGGUACAAGUUAGUUUAUAAGGACUGAUACCUGCAGCACUGAAAGAUCAGGAUUACUGUAAAGAAAACAAUAGAGAUGAGUGAGGAAAAUUAUGCAAAGUCGGAAGUUACAGCAAAUAAUAGACCUAAUUCGAGUGAUAACAAGUUGAAGACAAUUUGCAGACCCAGAGAGCCAGAAGCUUCAAGCAGUCUGAGAGCUCAGUUUCAGGAAUCAACCCUGCAGGGAGGAAAUGUUACAGACUGACUGCAGUGUGUUUGCUCCUGCUGCUCAAAUUCAACAACCUUAGUGGAGAAAAAGCCAAUCUGGAGACCAGUCACAACAACGUGACUAUAGAGAGAGACCAGUUACAGACCAGUUACAACAACCUGACUAAAGAGAGAGACCAGCUACAGUCCAGUUACAACACCCUGACUAAAAAAAAGAGACCGGCUACAAACUAGUUACAAUUUGAAUAUAGAGAGAGACCAGUUACAGACCAGAUACAACACCCUGACUAAAGAGAGAGACCAGCUACACUCCAGUUACAACACCCUGACUAAAGAGAGAGACCAGCUACAAACUAGUUACAACAUCGUGACUAAAGAGAGAGACCAGUUACAGACCAGAUACAGUACAACACCCUGACUAAAGAGAGAGACCAGUUACAGACCAGAUACAACACCCUGACUAAAGAGAGAGACCAGUUACAGACCAGAUACAACACCGUGACUAAAGAGAGAGAAGUUACAGAGGGAUAAAGGUGAACUCCAGAGGUUUUCUAAACUAGCUACUGGAAAAGUGGGGAACCGAAUGAUGAAGGUGAUGAGGACUGUGCAGAGAUUUUGGGUAAUCUGUGAAAAAGGGUCUGGAAUGACCGUCAAUGCUUGACAAAAUUAUUAUGGAUUUGUGAGAAGUUAUUAUGAUUUAAAUAUAAUAAACAGUGGAACAGAACAAUAAAAUGAUAUUCACAAAUCAAGCUUAAUUUUUGGAGUGGUUCAGUUUAGGUUUUAUUCUAUGCAAUGCUUAAAAACUAAUGCUUAAAGAUUAUUAUUAAGAUUAUUUACUGCUUGUAAUGCCUAAAGAUCAAUUUUUUUAUUCUUUUGUGCUUGCAUUUACU